Molecule: long non-coding RNA, 2295 nt
Organism: Perca fluviatilis (European perch)
Lineage: Eukaryota; Metazoa; Chordata; Actinopteri; Perciformes; Percidae
Exons: 3
Source: RefSeq, a predicted model, not a curated record
GUGUGUGUGUGUGUGUCUGUGUGUGUGUAUCUUGUUUGCAGCUCCAAAGAAUCCCUACAUAGAACUGGCAGAAACAAUCAUGGGUAUUUGUCUCCACCUAGUGGUUGGUAUAUAUUUUAAAUACAGUGAUGAUGAGCAGCACUUCUUUCAGUACUGUAUUUUCUACACAAGCACUCUUUAAAGAGCCGCUAUUAUAGUAGAAUAUGUUUACAUGCUUUGAUGUUCAAACACAUACUAUGUUUCUCAUACUCAUGUUUGCUGCAGCUCUGCCUGAAACACUGUCUGAGCUCUUGGCUCUCCUUCCUGAAAAACACAGUUUAUUGUGUAUUGUUUAUUGUUUAUUAAGGAUCCCCAUUAGUCAUCACCAUAGUGAAAAGUAUUCUUCCUGGGGUCCAACACAAGACAAUAUACAAUUAUUACAAAGGAAAUUAUAAAUACAUAUUGUUAUAUCAGAACAAUGAAAACAUCCCAAAUAUUAUAAAACAAAAGGCACAGUAGCAUGUUUUCCAUGUUAUAAAAACAACAAAACAGUAACAUGAAAUAAAAUAUAUAGUGAAGAAGCAAGAAAGAAGACAACAGAAAGGAAUGACAGAAACAGGUUUUAACCUAAUCUCUGAUAACAGCUUCUCUUAGUUUGUUUUUUAAGCUUGAAGUAUUUCACAUUAUGAUUAAAUGUGAGGGGAAGCUGUUCCAAUAUGUUAUAGUUCUGUACAUAAAAAUUUUUUUUAAGCACAUCGGUUCUGGGCAUAGGCAGCCAUAACCCACCUAACAUAAAACAUAACCAUGGUAUCAUAACUAUGACGACCAUUGGUAGCUGUGAGAACAAGCUGUUGGGUUUGCAUAAUGUACAAAUAUUCUUUAAAAAUACAAUCAGGCUGCAGCUAGUCUUUCAUCUACUGUCAUCCAUGACAGCCUGCUAUGCAUUUUUUCCACAUUACUUCUUUUGGAGCAGCGCAAUUUGAUAAGCUCUUGUUUUGAGGCACCAGACCAGAUUAUAGGGCAAUAGUCCAGAGACUGUCCCAUCAGUCUGCUCUGAUUGGUCAGCUGGCCCACUAUCUUGUGAUUGGGGAAUAUUAGCCAUCUUUUGGCUGUGUAUUUAGCACAUUGGUUUUGAAAUGUAACAGUGACUACAAGGUUAAAAGUUAAAGUUAAAAGCUCAACUUUAAUUUGCAGAAGCUACAUGUAUCAGAUAAUGAACUGUGAUGCUGGAAAGUAACUAAGAAAAAAUAAAUAAAAGUAACUAAGUACAUUUCCCACUUACUAUGCUUACUUGAGUAUUUCCAUUGUUUUUAGUAUAUAAAAAACCAACCCUGAGCAUAUUAUACAAUAUGAUGCAUUGUAUUAUAGUAAAUGAAACCAGCAGUGUUUAAGGUAUUAGAUUACUGCAUACUUGCGGUACUUUUCUAACAAUGAUAUGACAUGUUAUGAUUGAAUGACAGAUUACAUAGUAGUAUAGCCACUUUUAGGCAGGGUUGGUAACUAUUUCCAAUAUACACUUUCUAUAUAUUGUUUGAAAUGGUCAUGUAGCUGCUAGCAGACAAUAUUAUAAUCUUGUAAAAUCGUCCACCAAUCCCUGCCUCGCGGUUCGCUUGGAAAGAACCAAUGAAAUGCCUCCUUGUCCCACUGCAUGUACUCUAACCCUCCGAGCCUGUACGAGCCUGCUGAGCCCAGUGUGCGCUGACCGAGAAAACUCAGCCAAAGUUGCCGCUGCUGCCAUUAUUGACGUCUUUCUGUUGGACAUAUCUGAAUACUUGAUUACUGUUCAAUACCGUGAAUACUGUUGGUGUCCUCCAAUAAUAGGACCAAAGGUUAUUGAAUGAUUAGCUGCUCAGAUGUUUGAGGACAAGUUUUUUUCAUUGCCUUCCAUUAUUUGAGGAGCAGAAGAGCUUACAGGCCCUGCGCGGUGUUUCCACUUCCACUGCCUGAUUAGACCUCUCUUCUGUGUGGUGGCAAGAGGCGUGGCUUCGAGGAAGUAGGUCAAGGGGUGUGCACAGCUGCAGCGCAUUCCAUGAUUCACCUCAGCAGUACAUACCCGGGCUGAUCACCCCAUUGGCGCCAGAUCCUUACAACUACCUGUGUGCUCCAUGCUGCUCUGUCCUCCAUGCUUGGAUUCCUCUAUGAAUCAGAGUGGACUCUCCUCUGCCUGCCUGGCCUCGAGUCUCGGUCCAGUCCUGGAUUCUCCGCUGCCUGACCUCCUCGAGCUUCGGUCCAGCCUCGAGCUAUCCUGCUCGGACUCUGCCUUCAUUGUUCCCUCUAAGUUCAUACUGUUCAUUAAAACACCUUUUAACAUCUUGA